AUGAACGCUGGCGGCGUGCCUAAUACAUGCAAGUCGAGCGAACAGACCAGGAGCUUGCUCCUCUGACGUUAGCGGCGGACGGGUGGGGAACACGUGGAUAACCUACCUAUAAUACUGGGGUAACUUCGGGAAACCGGCGCUAAUACCGACUGAUAUAUUGAACCGCAUGGUUCAAUAGGAAAAGACGGUUUUGCUGUCACUUAUAGGCGGAUCCACGUCGCGUUAGCUAGUUGGUAAGGUAACGGCCUACCAAGGCAACGAUGCGUAGCCGAUCUGAGAGGGUGAUCGGCCACACUGGAACUGAGACACGGUCCAGACUCCUACGGGAGGCAGCAGUAGGGAAUCUUGCGCAAUGGGCGCAAGCCUGACGGAGCAACGCCGCGUGAGUGAUGAAGGUCUUCGGAUCGUAAAACUCUGUUAUUAGGGAAGAACAAAUGUGUAAGUAACUACGCACGUCUUGACGGUACCUAAUCAAAAAGCCACGGCUAACUACGUG
This 496-nucleotide ribosomal RNA is filed under the name uncultured bacterium. RNAcentral's name for it is "partial 16S ribosomal RNA". It matches the Rfam family "Bacterial small subunit ribosomal RNA", at positions 29 to 507 of the family's 1533-position model. The record is from RNAcentral.